GAUUUAACAAACUGGUUUCUACCACUUUCGGCCUGAAGUGACAGUGUUUUUUAACGUUGGUUGCAGGCAGGGGACUGUUGCCCCCUGCCAAGCACUUCAGCUUCCUUGCCCGGCCUCUCCUUGGCUUCUGUCUGUCCCCACCAGCAGCUCUUCAUGGGACCCAUCCUGACCCUCCAAGAAAGCAGAAAAGGAGGUUCCUGAUGCAAAACCUAAAGAGCUUUCAUCUGAGGAAGCCUCUGCCUUUUGGGUCAACACUGAGGGGAGUAAAUGAAUGGCACCUGCUCCUUCUCUGUCUGAAGCUUGGACUUCUCCUGAGAGGACUUCCUGCUCCAAGAUAGGAGGGAGUCUCACUCAGAAGAGGAAGGAGCUCCUGUCUGCUGAGGACACGGUUCCAUCCAAUGAGCCAUUCCAAGCUAAAUCCCAGGAAGUACUAAAGAAGCAAUGCACAGACACAGUAUCAUACAAUUUGAGACACAGUAUUAUAAAAUUGAUGUGAACUUCUAGGCACAGUGUGCUCACAGUCUGUCUGGAAAUAACUUUGUAGCAAGCAUAGUUCCAGUCUAGCUGCCUGGCAGCCUGGCAGGAUAUUAUUAUUACUGAUACUAAUUUACUUUUUAAUGUAAGUCUACCCAGAAUAUAUUAAAGAAGUUUCAAGAAAUCAGGAUCAUGGAUUAUAACCUGACGUAGUGCUAAGGAACCAUCAGUUCCAUGUAAGCAUUUGGUUAGCAAGUCUUUUUCAAAGGCCAUGCUUGAGAAACAGUUUUGCUCUCCCAAACAAUGUGUUGUAGUUUUUUUUAGCAUACUACUGUGCAGAUAAAUAAAUGAGAUAUUAAUGCCAUUGCAA
Long non-coding RNA from Homo sapiens (human), 844 nucleotides. Ensembl annotates it as long intergenic non-protein coding RNA 2367. The record is from Ensembl. NCBI's taxonomy places the organism in Eukaryota, Metazoa, Chordata, Mammalia, Primates, Hominidae.